CACGUAGGUAACCUGCCCAUGUGUCCGGGAUAACUGCUGGAAACGGUAGCUAAAACCGGAUAGGUAUACAGAGCGCAUGCUCAGUAUAUUAAAGCGCCCAUCAAGGCGUGAACAUGGAUGGACCUGCGGCGCAUUAGCUAGUUGGUGAGGUAACGGCCCACCAAGGCGAUGAUGCGUAGCCGGCCUGAGAGGGCAAACGGCCACAUUGGGACUGGGACACGGCCCAA
This 227-nucleotide ribosomal RNA is filed under the name uncultured bacterium. RNAcentral describes it as "partial 16S ribosomal RNA". It matches the Rfam family "Bacterial small subunit ribosomal RNA", at positions 114 to 334 of the family's 1533-position model. The record is from RNAcentral.